UACGUAGGUGGCAAGCGUUGUCCGGAUUUACUGGGCGUAAAGGGCGUGCAGGCGGUUUGUUAAGGUCAGGGUGAAAGCUCCCGGCUUAACUGGGAGAGGUCAACGGAAACUGCUAGGCUAGAGUGCGGUAGAGGUAGCUGGAAUUCCCGGUGUAGCGGUGGAAUGCGUAGAUAUCGGGAGGAACACCAGUGGCGAAGGCGGUUACCUGGAGCUUUGCUGACGCUGAUGCGCGAAAGCGUGGGGAGCGAUCCGG
Molecule: ribosomal RNA, 253 nt
Filed under: uncultured bacterium
Lineage: Bacteria
Description: partial 16S ribosomal RNA
Rfam family: Bacterial small subunit ribosomal RNA
Source: RNAcentral